Molecule: transfer RNA, 72 nt
Filed under: Perkinsus olseni
Lineage: Eukaryota; Perkinsozoa; Perkinsida; Perkinsidae
Description: tRNA-Thr
Rfam family: tRNA
About the family: Transfer RNA (tRNA) molecules are approximately 80 nucleotides in length. Their secondary structure includes four short double-helical elements and three loops (D, anti-codon, and T loops).
Source: RNAcentral
GCCACUCUAGCUUAGUGGUAGAGCAUCUGCUUCGUAAGCAGGAGGUCAUCAGUUCAAUCGUGGCAAGUGGCU